AGAGUUUGAUCCUGGCUCAGGAUGAACGCUGACAGAAUAGCUUAACACAUGCAAGUCAAUGGGGAAACGGUGCUUGCACCGUGAUAACCAUGGCGGACGGGUGAGUAACGCGUAAAGAACUUGCCUCUUAGUCUGGGAUAACAGAUGGAAACGACUGAUAAAACUAGAUAUUAUUAAAGUUUCGCAUGAAGCUUUAAUGAAAAGAGAUGCUAAGAGAGAGCUUUGCGUCCUAUUAGUUAGUUGGUGAGGUAACGGCUCACCAAGACGAAGAUAGGUAGCCGGUCUGAGAGGAUGAACGGCCACAAGGGGACUGAGAUACGGCCCUUACUCUUACGGGAGGCAGCAGUGGGGAAUAUUGGACAAUGGAGGAGACUCUGAUCCAGCAAUUCUGUGUGCACGAAGACGGUUUUCGGAUUGUAAAGUGCUUUCAGCAGGGAAGAAGAAAGUGACGGUACCUGCAGAAGAAGCGACGGCUAAAUACGUG
RNAcentral lists this ribosomal RNA (484 nucleotides) under uncultured Leptotrichiaceae bacterium. Its description in RNAcentral is "bacterial SSU rRNA". It matches the Rfam family "Bacterial small subunit ribosomal RNA", at positions 8 to 507 of the family's 1533-position model. The record is from RNAcentral. Lineage: Bacteria; Fusobacteriati; Fusobacteriota; Fusobacteriia; Fusobacteriales; Leptotrichiaceae.